ACGAACGCUGGCGGCGUGCCUAAUACAUGCAAGUCGAACGAACUCUGGUAUUGAUUGGUGCUUGCAUCAUGAUUUACAUUUGAGUGAGUGGCGAACUGGUGAGUAACACGUGGGAAACCUGCCCAGAAGCGGGGGAUAACACCUGGAAACAGAUGCUAAUACCGCAUAACAACUUGGACCGCAUGGUCCGAGUUUGAAAGAUGGCUUCGGCUAUCACUUCUGGAUGGUCCCGCGGCGUAUUAGCUAGAUGGUGAGGUAACGGCUCACCAUGGCAAUGAUACGUAGCCGACCUGAGAGGGUAAUCGGCCACAUUGGA
RNAcentral lists this ribosomal RNA (316 nucleotides) under Lactobacillus sp. 14B10. Its description in RNAcentral is "bacterial SSU rRNA". It matches the Rfam family "Bacterial small subunit ribosomal RNA", at positions 29 to 317 of the family's 1533-position model. Lineage: Bacteria; Bacillati; Bacillota; Bacilli; Lactobacillales; Lactobacillaceae. The record is from RNAcentral.